CGAAAGCCUGACGGAGCAAGACCGCGUGAGGGAGGAAGGCUCUAGGGUUGUAAACCUCUUUUAUCAGGGAAGAAGCUCUGACGGUACCUGAGGAAUCAGCAUCGGCUAACUCCGUGCCAGCAGCCGCGGUAAUACGGAGGAUGCAAGCGUUAUCCGGAAUCAUUGGGCGUAAAGCGUCCGCAGGUGGGAGUUCAAGUCGAUUGUCAAAGGCAGUAGCUUAACUACUGAAAGGCAGUGGAAACUGAACAACUAGAGUGCGGUAGGGGUAGAGGGAAUUCCCGGUGUAGCGGUGAAAUGCGUAGAGAUCGGGAAGAACACCAGUGCCGAAAGCGCUCUGCUGGACCGGCACUGACACUGAGGGACGAAAGCUAGGGCGAGCG
Molecule: ribosomal RNA, 380 nt
Filed under: uncultured cyanobacterium
Lineage: Bacteria; Bacillati; Cyanobacteriota
Description: bacterial SSU rRNA
Rfam family: Bacterial small subunit ribosomal RNA
Source: RNAcentral